GCAUGAGGUGCCUUGCGCUCUCUUUCCGCCCCCGUGCCCCGCUUCGCUGCGUUCCCUGUUUGCUUCGGUCGGGGCUCCCCCCGCAGCAUCCCCUCACAGCGUCCUCUCUCCGUCGCCCCUCAGCUGUCUCAGGUGCCUCCUCCCGGUGCCUCCUCAUAGUCUCCCUUCAGUCCCCUCAGUGCAUUAUUUCUCCCCCACGUCCUCGCAUCGGUCUUUCCUGUCUGCUUCUGUAGGGGCUCCCCCUCAGGACCUCAGAGCUGACCCCUCACAGGGUUCCGACUCCCUCAGAUGUCUGUUUCCCCCUCACAGCGUCCCCCAGUCUCCCUUCAGUCCCACCAGAGAUGUCCCAGUGCUCCUCUCACAGCGACACCUUCAAGUCUCCACAGUCUCCCCUCAGUCCCCUCAUAGUGACCCCCGUAAUCUCCCCUCGCAGUCCCACCAUGGAGGGCCCAUUGGCCCUUCAGAGUCUCCCCUCAGUCCCUCAGAGCCCUCGCUCCACAGUCCUCUCUCUAACUCCCCUUACAUGUCGCAAUGCCCCCCUCACAGUGCCCCCUCAAGUCUCCCCAUGAUCUGCCCUUCCCCUCUCAGUCCUUUCAGAGAACUUUUCAGAGAACCCCCACAAUCUCCUCUUUCAGUCCCAUUACGGAUGGCUCAAUACCCCCUCACAGUCUUCCCUCAUAUUCCUCAGAGCCUCCACCCCAGUCUCUCCUCUCAAUCCCACCAUGGAUGUCCCCUCUCAGUCUUUCAGUCGUCCUCUCAGACUCCCAUCUCAGUUACAUUUCCUCACAGUUACAUUUCCAGUCUGCCUUCUCAGUCUCACCAUGGAUGUCCCCUUUCAAUGCCCAACUCACAGCCAUCCCCCUCACAGUCUCCCCUCUCAGUUUCCCUUCAGUCACCUCUCAACUUUCCCUCUCAGUUGCACAGAGAUGCUCUCUCUUAAUGUCCCUCUCAGAGUGUCCCUUCUCAGUUUCCCCUCUCAAUCCCACUGUGGACAUUCCCUCUCAAUGUCCCCCUCACAACAUCUCCUCCCAAGCUCCCUCUCAGUGCCCCCAUUUUCCCCCAUGUCCUCAGAGCAGACACAUGAGGGCAAGUGUCCCUUUGGAUCUGACCCACUCUCAGGCACCAGCAAACCAAACCCAGCCUCGCUUUACAAACACUUUCUGCUGUCUAGACAGACUUCCCCAGCCCAAAACAGGUUUAGAAGACUGGAGCUCACAUACUUCCAUGGAUUUCCAUACUGGUUCCCAACCUGAGAAUCAGGUCGUAUAAGCCCGGUGAUGUGUGUGGCAGCAGAGCUCCCUGUACCCAAACUGGUUGCUUGGGGCUGUUUUCAUCACCUUCAUGUUGGAAUGUCCUCCCAGAGCAGCCACAAUGGGAAGAGAGGCUGGAGAAGGGCUGGACACAAUUCUAAGAUAUGCUGAGGAGCUCCAUGAGCCGAGAUGGAUUCAACAGCAAUAAUUUAUUGUUUUCAAGGAGAUCUAUAAUGACAGAUUCCUUUGCAAAGAGAUGGCCCCAGCUGCCCCUGCAUGGGAUCAGAAGAGCACUCGGUUAAUGGCAGGAGGGAGAGGAAGACCUUGGCUGUUAUCCACUGCUCCUGGAAAGAGAGUUAUGAUUAAAUACCCUGAAGGCCUAAGAGUAGGCUGGGGUACCCCAGCCCUUUGGUAUCAGUAUUGCAAGACUUGGAUGGCCUCACCCACUGGUAAUGCCAAACAUGGAACAAGCUCAGAGUAGGAGGAUUUAAUGAAGAGAAAAUUUUCAAAGACACUAUAUAUCAAAUACACCAGUAUUCCCAGUCUGGUCUCCAGAGCAUGGCUCCCUGCUCCCCAGCUGAUGGGUAAGCCCUUGAAAGGAUUCCUGAGGCCUUCAUCUGUGGUGUUCAGGAGGGAGGGUGAAGCAGGUGCUUAAUGGAUAACUCCUUUAUUCAGGGACUAGUUCCAAGAGAAAUUGCAUAAUAAAAUCUGCACUGCUGCA
Long non-coding RNA from Parus major (Great Tit), 1971 nucleotides. RefSeq lists it as uncharacterized. The transcript has 2 exons. NCBI's taxonomy places the organism in Eukaryota, Metazoa, Chordata, Aves, Passeriformes, Paridae. The record is from RefSeq and is a predicted model, not a curated record.